CGACGAGUUUGAUCAUGGCUCAGGAUGAACGCUAGCGGCAGGCCUAACACAUGCAAGUCGAGGGGUAACAGGAGAGCUUGCUCUCGCUGACGACCGGCGCACGGGUGCGUAACGCGUAUACAAUUUACCUUAUACUGGAGGAUAGCCCGGAGAAAUCCGGAUUAAUACUCCAUAACAUUACAGAAUCGCAUGAUUCCAUAAUUAAAGUUUCGGCGGUAUAAGAUGAGUAUGCGUCCUAUUAGUUAGUUGGUAAGGUAACGGCUUACCAAGACAGCGAUAGGUAGGGGGCCUGAGAGGGUUAUCCCCCACACUGGUACUGAGACACGGACCAGACUCCUACGGGAGGCAGCAGUGAGGAAUAUUGGACAAUGGAGGCAACUCUGAUCCAGCCAUGCCGCGUGAAGGAAGAAUGUCCUACGGAUUGUAAACUUCUUUUAUUUGGGAAGAAACUUCUCUACGUGUAGAGAACUGACGGUACCAAACGAAUAAGGACCGGCUAACUCCGUG
RNAcentral lists this ribosomal RNA (507 nucleotides) under uncultured bacterium. RNAcentral describes it as "bacterial SSU rRNA". It matches the Rfam family "Bacterial small subunit ribosomal RNA", at positions 1 to 507 of the family's 1533-position model. The record is from RNAcentral.